UACGACUACAUAUCAGGCAUAUCAAUAAGCGGAGGAAAAGAAACUAACAAGGAUUCCCCUAGUAACGGCGAGUGAAGCGGGAAGAGCUCAAAUUUGAAAUCUUAAAGGGUUUCCCUUUACGAAUUGUAGUCUAAAGAAGUGUUUUCUGUUGGAGUUUCGGUAAAAGUUCUUUGGAAUAGGACAUCAUAGAGGGUGAGAAUCCCGUAUUUGACCGUUACUUUCCAGCUGUGUGAUACACUUUCAAAGAGUCGGAUUGUUUGGGAAUGCAGUCCAAGAUGGGUGGUAAAUUUCAUCUAAAGCUAAAUAUUGGCGAGAGACCGAUAGCGAACAAGUACCGUGAGGGAAAGAUGAAAAGAACUUUGAAAAGAGAGUUAAACAGUACGUGAAAUUGUCAAAAGGGAAGCGUUUGACACCAGUGUUGUUUAGUUGAAAAUCAAUUCAAUAGUUUUUGAUUCUAAGUAGUAUUGACUUCAUCAGCUUGCUGCUUUCUUCUCAGAAAUUAUUGAAUGCACUUUUCAGUUAACAAGUCAACAUCAAUUUCUUUUGUUGUAAAAGGGUAAGAGGAAGGUGGCUUGCGCUUCGGCUCAAGUGUUUAUAGCCUUUUAUCUCUGCAAUCGGAGAGAUUGAGGUCUGCAGCGUAGAUCCUUCGGGUUAGAUACAUUGGUGCUAAGCUAUAGCCUUGUAUAGACAACUUGUUGACUAUGCUCAGUCACUGUAGCCUACUCGCUGAUGCUAUUUUACCUACGCUUAGGAUGUUGAUCUACAGAGCGAGAGU
Molecule: ribosomal RNA, 775 nt
Filed under: uncultured Neocallimastigales
Lineage: Eukaryota; Fungi; Neocallimastigomycota; Neocallimastigomycetes; Neocallimastigales
Description: partial large subunit ribosomal RNA
Rfam family: Eukaryotic large subunit ribosomal RNA
Source: RNAcentral